RNAcentral lists this ribosomal RNA (492 nucleotides) under uncultured bacterium. RNAcentral describes it as "partial 16S ribosomal RNA". It matches the Rfam family "Bacterial small subunit ribosomal RNA", at positions 30 to 507 of the family's 1533-position model. The record is from RNAcentral.
AUUGAACGCUGGCGGCAGGCCUAACACAUGCAAGUCGAGCGGCCGAACCGAAAUCGCUCGUUCUUACCGCUGGCGACGGGCGGGUGAGUGAUAGGUACAUCCCAGGCUCUGUUGUCGUGGGUCAGAACGAGGGCGCUCUUACGCUACUAGCGCAGACGACCUACGGGUGGAAGCUUCGGAUCUUCGGACCUCACGCGACCGCAGGAGCCGUUGUCGGAUUAGCGAGUUGGUGGGGUAAAGGCCCACCAAGGCGACGAUGCGUAGCUGGUCUGAGAGGAUGAUCAGCCACACUGGAACUGAGACACGGUCCAGACUCCUACGGGAGGCAGCAGUGGGGAAUAUUGGACAAUGGGCGAAAGCCUGAUCCAGCCAUGCCGCGUGAGUGAAGAAGGCCUUCGGGUUGUAAAGCACUUUUGUUAGGGAAGAAAAGCAGCAGGUUAAUACCACGCUGUUAUGACGGUACCAAAAGAAUAAGCACCGGCUAACUUCGUG